GACGAACGCUGGCGGCGUGCUUAACACAUGCAAGUCGAACGGAAAGGCCUCUCUCGGGGGGUACUCGAGUGGCGAACGGGUGAGUAACACGUGAGUAAACUGCCCUCGACACUGGGGUAACUUCAGGAGAAUGGGGCGAAUACAGGAUAGGAGCUCCCGCUGCACGGGGGGGGUGGGAGAGAUUCGGCGGGUGGGGAUGGACUCGCGGCGUAUCAGCUUGUUGGUGGGGUAGUGGCUUACCAAGGCUUUGACGGGUAGGCGGCCUGGGAGGGUGAACGGCCACAUUGGGACUGGGAUUCGGCCCAGACUCCUACGGGAGGCAACAGUGGGGAAUAUUGCACAAUGGGUGGAAGCCUGAUGCAGCAACGCCGUGUGCGGGAUGACGGCCUUCGGGUUGUAAACCGCUUUCGCUCAUGACGAAGCUUUGUGUGACGGUAGUGGGUAAAGAAGCACCGGCUAACUACGUG
RNAcentral lists this ribosomal RNA (467 nucleotides) under uncultured bacterium. RNAcentral describes it as "partial 16S ribosomal RNA". It matches the Rfam family "Bacterial small subunit ribosomal RNA", at positions 28 to 507 of the family's 1533-position model. The record is from RNAcentral.